RNAcentral lists this ribosomal RNA (468 nucleotides) under uncultured bacterium. RNAcentral's name for it is "partial 16S ribosomal RNA". It matches the Rfam family "Bacterial small subunit ribosomal RNA", at positions 28 to 507 of the family's 1533-position model. The record is from RNAcentral.
GACGAACGCUGGCCGUGUGCUUAACACAUGCAAGUCGAACGGAAAGGCCCUGCUUUUGUGGGGUGCUCGAGUGGCGAAAGGGUGAGUAACACGUGAGUAACCUGCCUUUGACUUUGGGAUAACUUCAGGUAACUGGGGCUAAUACCGGAUCGGAGCUCCUGCUGCAUGUUGGGGGUUGGAAAGUUUCGGCGGGUUGGGAUGGACUCGCGGCGUAUCAGCUUUUUGGUGGGGUAGUGGCUUACCAAGGCUUUGACGGGUAGCCGGCCUGAGAGGGUGACCGGCCACAUUGGGACUGAGAUACGGCCCAGACUCCUACGGGAGGCAGCAGUGGGGAAUAUUGCACAAUGGGCGGAAGCCUGAUGCAGCAACGCCGCGUGCGGGAUGACGGCCUUCGGGUUGUAAACCGCUUUCGCCUGUGACGAAGCGUGAGUGACGGUAAUGGGUAAAGAAGCACCGGCUAACUACGUG